Long non-coding RNA from Aethina tumida (small hive beetle), 631 nucleotides. RefSeq lists it as uncharacterized. NCBI's taxonomy places the organism in Eukaryota, Metazoa, Arthropoda, Insecta, Coleoptera, Nitidulidae. The transcript has 3 exons. The record is from RefSeq and is a predicted model, not a curated record.
UAGAGCUGUAAAUAUUCAAAUACUGGUCAAAAUAAAACAUAUCAUAUAUAUUUUUAAAUCUAUUUAAUCUAAGAAACUAAAUUUAUCUUACUCAAGUAAUGUUUCUAUGUUUUUUAAAAUUGAUUAAACCUUGACAUGUGCCAAAUCACGAAUGAUUAGUGCAAGGUAUGUCUCGUCACCUGCAUAGUUCAUCUACUUAUUAUUGCGAAACUAUUGAAACAAAACGGCUUCCAAACAGAAAUUAAGUAAAAAAACCAGUGAUGAUGCUAGUCCGUCUAACAGUAAACAAACUUAUGCCCACUUUGACACUUCAUCUAAUCGUGAUCCAGUAAGGCAGUACAAGGGUUCCAAGCCUGAACCUGUUUAUGUUAUAGAUAAGGAAGAUAUAAAUUUGUUGGCGGAAAUAUUGACGGACAGUGUAAUUGCAGAAGCUGAAGAAGUAUUACUUCUUAUACGCGAGAACGUGGAGAUCAAAAAUUCUUUGUAUUCUGUUGUACGAAAAGACAGCGAAUAAUGGUUAAAUACCCGAAGAGAUUGUUCAACAGAGAGAAGAAAAUUGUUAAUUAAUUGGUAGUACGUAAGUUCAAAUAAAUAUAUUUUUGAAAUGUAAUAAUAAAGCACGUACAUAUGA